GAGAGGCGUCCAGGACAACAAGAACUGCUAAUUCGCACUGCCGAAGUUAAACUCUUCGGGCCACUCA
This 67-nucleotide transfer RNA is filed under the name Dibamus bourreti. Its description in RNAcentral is "tRNA-Ser". The record is from RNAcentral. RNAcentral also lists the same sequence under 1 other name. Lineage: Eukaryota; Metazoa; Chordata; Lepidosauria; Squamata; Dibamidae.